RNAcentral lists this long non-coding RNA (610 nucleotides) under Homo sapiens (human). Its description in RNAcentral is "HSALNT0322328". The record is from RNAcentral. Lineage: Eukaryota; Metazoa; Chordata; Mammalia; Primates; Hominidae.
CCUCUUGAACAAACAUUGAAUAGUUAUACCAUGUUCAAUGUGUGCAAAUCUUGAAUGAAACUCAUUAUAGAGAUCUAUAGAGAGAAAGGCCAAGGCAUAUCAUCCUAAAAAGAAAAUAUUAAUAUAAAUUUCUGAAAUCCUUAUUCAGAAAUGCAUAAGAAAGCAAAGGAAUUUUAUGGAAGAUAUUCACCACCAGCAAGAAAGUCAUACUUCAAUCCUCCAGAAUAGAUUACUUCUGAUUUGAAAGCAUUGGUUACAUGAAAACCGUGUGACAACCUUGGAAGUCUGAAAGAGCAGGAGAGAGGCUAAGCACACACAUAUUGUGAUUUUAAGAGUCUCAAGGGCUGACACAAGCUGAGAUGAGGAAAUAUGACCUCCUACACGUGUUUUCCAUGAGGAAUAUGUUUGCUGUGCAGUCACUGAGUUAAAAGCAACCUUCAUUCCCUUGUGCACCAAGGUAGUGCCUCUCCAGAGCUGUAGAUGUCUUCCCAGGAUAUUCCAUCAUUCUACACAGCAUUUAAUUCUUGGAGCUCACAGUCCAAGACUGUUAUCAGUCCAUUUUCACUCUAUUGAUCAAGACAUACUCAAGACUGGGUAAUUUAUAAAGAAA